This is a non-coding RNA of Oryzias latipes (Japanese medaka), 1199 nucleotides long. The record is from RefSeq and is a predicted model, not a curated record. NCBI's taxonomy places the organism in Eukaryota, Metazoa, Chordata, Actinopteri, Beloniformes, Adrianichthyidae.
CAUAUCGUGCAGCCCUAGAAUAAAGAAAUUGCAUCAAAUCUAAAAUACGGUCUUAAGAAUGCGAGUUUUGACAAAACUGGAGCUAAAAUGAGCACAUGAUCAAUUCCCUUAAGUCAGCUAAUAUUUCUGCAGAGGAAACAUCCGCCUCUCAGUUUUCUCUGAAGUCACUUUGACUCAACAAAAGCAAAAAACAUUUCCCAAUACCUGAACGUCUCAACUUAGACAAACUUCUUCCUGCUUAACGUGCAUCUAAAAACGCCGCUGAAACAGCAUUUUUUUAAUCCUCGUGAAAAUUCAGUCAGGUCACAUUUUUACUGACGAUCACGUCAGGAGGGCGCCGGUCUGAGACAAUGACGGUAUUCACAGCCGUCGGACCGGAUGGGUCUGGAAUGAAGGCUUCAGCAGAUCGGCAUGUCGGGCAGGAAUGCUGCAGGACGGCAGUCGUCAGCUGAUCUAUGACAAACUGACUGAUAAAAGGGAUUCCUGAGGCGGCAGGAACGGCGUGAAGCCACGAAAACAAACCACCGUCUGAAGGUGGUCAUGACGCGUCUCACAGGUGACAGAGCAGCUCAACGGGAUCAACCUGGAACCACGGCUGGCUUUGAUCUGGAGACGUGACGCCACGAGUUUCUGCUUACAGAUUUUCAAAAUAAAACGCAGCACUUGAGGAAGGCCGAUAUCGUCUUGAGCUGCAGCAGGACGGCUCAGAGGGACAACUUUCUGAUCUGGAUGUGGAAAUCUGUGGUCUGAAGAUGACAGAGGCGGUAGAUGAGACGUGGAUCAUGGCGCUGCAGCAGCAAAGAAAGAAAGAAGGAAUCCGUUCAGACUAGACGAGUUUCUGAGAUCAGGAGUGUGAAAUGAGUCUUCAGGCAAACAUGCAGCUGUUCUAUUUCUAACAUUUUCUUCUGUCUUUGACCCUCACGGUCACAGGAAGCACUUCGCUUCAGUGGCUGGCGUUUCCGUCAGAACAUGAGCGCAGAGGAGGAACCCGUUUAUUGACUCGGCUAAAAAGCUUGAGCAAACAUCUGCAGCACUUUGUCCUCAAGGGAUCAGACGGACUGUAAUCUUUUAAGGUGGUCUGAGGCAACAGCUUUCCAGGAAGGCACAAGUUUCAUCUGUUCUGCUUUUUCUUUUAGCUGCAUUUGAUGCAGCGGAAAUGUUUGAGAAAUUACAGGAUGUUGGUGAAAAGAAAAAAAAAA